RNAcentral lists this long non-coding RNA (357 nucleotides) under Numida meleagris (helmeted guineafowl). RNAcentral's name for it is "lncRNA (ENSNMEG00000016280.1)". The record is from RNAcentral. Lineage: Eukaryota; Metazoa; Chordata; Aves; Galliformes; Numididae.
AGAUGCCAAACUCCACAAAUCUCCUAAGAUGCAGAGGCUGAGACCUCCAGUGUAGAAGACGUGAUAUUGAGCCUGAGGACUCUGGAGACCCAAGAUAUCAGAUCCCCAAGACAUGGAAAACCAGGACAUUGACCUUGGGAUGUUGGAGACCCACAGUGCUGAAACCCAGGUAAUGUACUCUGAGCUCAGUGAUCCAAGAGAAAAUUUCCCAGCAGGCCACACUUGACAAGCAGGUGUCACUCAAUCAUGCACGUUUUCACCUCCCUGAGAGGACAGAUGGUCCCAGCCUACUUAGCAAUUCCAUCCUCUGUUGGCAGCCCCCUCUCCAAUGCAGUGCCAUAAUAAAGAUGCUCUGAG